UUGAUUGUGAUAGCUAUUGCACCACAUGUGUUUUUCUUUGAAACAAACUUGCUUUGGCGGUGGGCCCAGCCUGCCGCCAGAGGUCUAAACUUACAACCAAUUUUUUAUCAACUUGUCACACCAGAUUAUUACUAAUAGUCAAAACUUUCAACAACGGAUCUCUUGGUUCUCGCAUCGAUGAAGAACGCAGCGAAAUGCGAUACGUAAUAUGAAUUGCAGAUAUUCGUGAAUCAUCGAAUCUUUGAACGCACAUUGCGCCCUCUGGUAUUCCGGAGGGCAUGCCUGUUUGAGCGUCGUUUCUCCCUCAAACCGCUGGGUUUGGUGUUGAGCAAUACGACUUGGGUUUGCUUGAAAGACGGUAGUGGUAAGGCGGGAUCGCUUUGACAAUGGCUUAGGUCUAACCAAAAACAUUGCUUGCGGCGGUAACGUCUACCACGUAUAUCUUCAAACUUUGACCUCAAAUCAGGUAGGACUACCCGCUGAACUUAAGCAUAUCAAAAA
Molecule: ribosomal RNA, 501 nt
Filed under: Candida albicans
Lineage: Eukaryota; Fungi; Ascomycota; Pichiomycetes; Serinales; Debaryomycetaceae
Description: eukaryotic LSU rRNA
Rfam family: 5.8S ribosomal RNA (bases 143-296)
Source: RNAcentral